GAGAAAUGCAGCAUCAACAUAUAAUAUCCUAAACGAGGAAGGUAGAAUUGUAGCUGCAGCACUUCUGCCUUACGGAGUUUCUUCAUGACCCACCACCCAGAUGCCUCUCCAAUUGCAGGAUUCUUGUAUCCCUCAAAUCUCACAAGUAUUCCUAAGCGCUUUGAUCUCUACCCAUUUGUAGACUGACUGCAAGUACCAAGUCACUUGGUCCUUUUUGCUGUAUAGAUAAUACUGUUAUGGUCAAAACCUGCUACCGAGAAUUUUG
RNAcentral lists this unclassified non-coding RNA (265 nucleotides) under Hevea brasiliensis (rubber tree). Lineage: Eukaryota; Viridiplantae; Streptophyta; Magnoliopsida; Malpighiales; Euphorbiaceae. The record is from RNAcentral.